UGCGCAGGCGGAUUGGUAGGUGUGCUGUGAAAUCCCUCGGCUCAACCGAGGAAUUGCGGUGCAAACCCCCAAUCUUGAGGCAGGCAGAGGUCGCCGGAACGUUCGGCGGAGCGGUGAAAUGCGUAGAUAUCGAACGGAACGCCGAAGGGUAGCCAGGCGACUGGGCCUGACCUGACGCUCAGGCACGAAAGCGUGGGGAUCAAACA
This 206-nucleotide ribosomal RNA is filed under the name uncultured bacterium. Its description in RNAcentral is "partial 16S ribosomal RNA". It matches the Rfam family "Bacterial small subunit ribosomal RNA", at positions 568 to 774 of the family's 1533-position model. The record is from RNAcentral.